RNAcentral lists this ribosomal RNA (537 nucleotides) under Pestalotiopsis sp. AZ36. RNAcentral's name for it is "eukaryotic LSU rRNA". The stretch from base 179 to 332 matches the Rfam family "5.8S ribosomal RNA". Lineage: Eukaryota; Fungi; Ascomycota; Sordariomycetes; Amphisphaeriales; Sporocadaceae. The record is from RNAcentral.
CGAACGGUAACUAAAAAAGGGGGGAGAGUCGUCAGCCUGCACACGGNUNAGCAGCAUCAUCUAUGAAGGCGGCGGCGGACAGUUGAUAGGGUCUUCGUUGAGUAGCUGGCUGCCGGUGGACCGAUAUGAAACUCUUGUUGAUUUUAUGUAAUCUGAGCGUCUUAUUUUAAUAAGUCAAAACUUUCAACAACGGAUCUCUUGGUUCUGGCAUCGAUGAAGAACGCAGCGAAAUGCGAUAAGUAAUGUGAAUUGCAGAAUUCAGUGAAUCAUCGAAUCUUUGAACGCACAUUGCGCCCAUUAGUAUUCUAGUGGGCAUGCCUGUUCGAGCGUCAUUUCAACCCUUAAGCCUAGCUUAGUGUUGGGAAUCUACUUCUCUUAGGAGUUGUAGUUCCUGAAAUACAACGGCGGAUUUGUAGUAUCCUCUGAGCGUAGUAAUUCUUUUCUCGCUUUUGUUAGGUGCUAUAACUCCCAGCCGCUAAACCCCCAAUUUUUUGUGGUUGACCUCGGAUCAGGUAGGAAUACCCGCUGAACUUAAGC